This 573-nucleotide ribosomal RNA is filed under the name Purpureocillium lilacinum. RNAcentral describes it as "eukaryotic LSU rRNA". It matches the Rfam family "Eukaryotic large subunit ribosomal RNA", at positions 53 to 650 of the family's 3401-position model. Lineage: Eukaryota; Fungi; Ascomycota; Sordariomycetes; Hypocreales; Ophiocordycipitaceae. The record is from RNAcentral.
GAGGAAAAGAAACCAACAGGGAUUGCCCCAGUAACGGCGAGUGAAGCGGCAACAGCUCAAAUUUGAAAUCUGGCCCCCAGGGCCCGAGUUGUAAUUUGCAGAGGAUGCUUUUGGCGCGGUGCCUUCCGAGUUCCCUGGAACGGGACGCCAUAGAGGGUGAGAGCCCCGUCUGGUCGGACGCCUAGCCUGUGUAAAGCUCCUUCGACGAGUCGAGUAGUUUGGGAAUGCUGCUCUAAAUGGGAGGUAUAUGUCUUCUAAAGCUAAAUACCGGCCAGAGACCGAUAGCGCACAAGUAGAGUGAUCGAAAGAUGAAAAGCACUUUGAAAAGAGGGUUAAAUAGUACGUGAAAUUGUUGAAAGGGAAGCGCUUGUGACCAGACUUGGGCCCGGUGGAUCAUCCAGCGUUCUCGCUGGUGCACUCCGCCGGGUUCAGGCCAGCAUCAGUUCGCCGCGGGGGAAAAAGGCUUCGGGAACGUGGCUCCUACGGGAGUGUUAUAGCCCGUUGCAUAAUACCCUGGGGCGGACUGAGGUUCGCGCUCCGCAAGGAUGCUGGCGUAAUGGUCAUCAGCGACCC